This 468-nucleotide ribosomal RNA is filed under the name uncultured bacterium. RNAcentral's name for it is "bacterial SSU rRNA". It matches the Rfam family "Bacterial small subunit ribosomal RNA", at positions 46 to 525 of the family's 1533-position model. The record is from RNAcentral.
GGAUUAGGCAUGCAAGUCGUACGAACCUUCGGGUUAGUGGCGAACGGGUGAGUAACACGUGGGUAACCUGCCUCGUAGUGGGGAAUAACUCGCCGAAAGGCGAGCUAAUACCGCAUAACACCCCUGGUGAGAAUCCAGGCGGUAAAAGCUCCGGCGCUACGAGAGGGGCCCGCGGCCGAUUAGCUAGUUGGUGGGGUAACGGCCUACCAAGGCGACGAUCGGUAGCUGGUCUGAGAGGAUGGUCAGCCACACGGGGACUGAGAUACGGCCCCGACUCCUACGGGAGGCAGCAGCUAAGAAUCUUGCGCAAUGGGCGAAAGCCUGACGGAGCGACACCGCGUGCAGGACGAAGGCCUUCGGGUUGUAAACUGCUGUCACGCUAUAUGAAACCCAGGCCGUUAAUACCGGUCUGGUCGACUAAAGCGAGAGGAAGUGGCGGCUAACUCUGUGCCAGCAGCCGCGGUAAUA